CGGCGCCCUUUUGAUUUUUAAGGUUGUAGCUAUUGGCUGUUGGAUUUGGUGGGCGGGCUGUUUCAGGUGUGUGAAUGGCUACAAAGCAUGUGCGUGAACAGGUGGUAAGAUUUUGGCCGCGUGAUGGGAGCUACGCUGAAGACUGAAGCCAACUCUUUCUGUUUCUUUUAUCUCUAAAAUGAACUCAUGUCAAGCCGAGGAAUCACCAAAGAAGCUGGAACAGUCGACGGCCAUGGAUGUAUUAUGUCUACAGCUAAGAAAAGACCGAGAGCGACAGGUUCACGUCGAGCCGGAAGUGGAGACAUGGCUUAUUAAUCAUAAGCCAAAGAAGAGGCGGAGAGCUGGUGAUACACACAGCAGGACGGAGCUGACUGCAGGCCGUGGGAGCGGACCUGGCUGCGAUGCAGGAUGCAGCUUUCUCUUCAAGGGCCUAUUCCAACCACAGCAGAUGGGUGGAAACCUCUCUUCGGAAUGAAAACAGCUCUCAGCUUUCCCCUUUUGCUCGCCAUUAAAAUCCCCCCAAAAAAACAACUAUUCCUGCACUGCCAGGGGAAGAAAAUCCAUAUUUGAUGGUGUUUUCAUACCGACGGUCUCACUCCGCCUUCAGACCACACUGCUGUGACAUCUGUCCCUUUGUUGUUCCAAAAUGACGGCCAAGAACAAGAUGACAAAACGUUCUGAGAGUUGCUUGCUUUCCAAGCAGUUUCAUCUUAAACAGAGAGGCACCUGGAUUUUAUCCUGAGCAACGUGCAAAGGAAAGCGCUUCAUUAGGAUGCACAACUGAAACCCUGCAGGAUCAAGGUGAUUUGAAUGUAAAACAACUAGCUACCGGUCCGACUACUUCUCUCUACUGUUUCUACUCUGCCCUAAAGCAAGGUCUCCCCAGCCACACCUAUUGCCAAAAAAAAAAAAAAAAAGCCACUGCAACAUCAGUUAAGGAGGGCGGGGAUGUGAUGGAGCACAAAACCAAUAGCCAACAAUACUUCGAACAGACUUACCGCAUGCACCAUGUGUUACAAUCCACCACAGUGUGUCAUUUGAGUUCAGCCAGGGCUCUGUGCUUUUUACCAAGUACUGGAAUAAUUAACACGCUUAUCUCUGGCACACAAAACAGCACCUUGCACCUCUAUUGUGAGUUUGUUACCCAGUGUUUAUGAUGCAAAGUCUUAAUGGCUCGAAUGAUGUCUAUGAGUGAGGGCCAACGCUGAAGAGCAAUGCUUGUUAGAGAAGGAAAACAGGCAAAUGUCAAGGACUUCACUCUCAUUCAGAGCACUGAAAUACAUAAGGAGAGAGUGUGUGAGAGAACCAGGAAUAGAUUUCAAUAUGUUUAAGGUAGCCCCUGAACACAGCAGGACAUUUCUGACUCCCAUUUAGAAAGAUGUGGGAAAUUGAAACUGGUAAUUCCAAUCCAUUCUUAUCCCCAUUGUGCCAGCCUUAAUAAGGUCAAAACAUGGUUCUGCUGCUGUAAAUGACUGAAUUUAAGACCAUUCUAAGACAAUUGUGAGGGAUUUGCAUAUAAAAAGAUGUGUGAUUGUGGAAAAGACCUUGGCCUAUAUUCUGUAAUUACUACAACUCCAUCUGUCUCUCAGUCCUGCCUUUUAAAUAAUACUCAACCGUUCUUCUCCAACUAUCUUUUGGAUUCCAUAGUAAAUCCUCUUGUCCUCUACAACCCAUUACAUGAGACAACAUCUGGUGCCAGCCUGUGUCUCAUCAAUUCACUCAUGAAUGAAACUAGGCUGCUUUCAAGGAAUGGUUGAAAACAUAGAAAUCCUUUCUUUAAAAAAAUUGGAUGAAUGUAUGGAAAUGGAGGCUUUUCCUGAUCUGUAACUGGAGCCCAACAAGAUCACAAUGGCACCCCACAAUUAGCCUAAUCACCCUGCCGGUGGUAAGACUGGUUCUGCACUUGCAAUAUCACAGACCACAGCAUGCAUUAACAUCACAGGGCAGAAUUAAUCCUAACAGGUUGCAGCAAUUACCUGAGCCCUGACUGUUCCUAAAAGUCAUCCUGAGCCGUGACAGACGCAUGAGCACAGAUAACAUUUGCCAGAACACAGACACGGCAGAUAGUACAAGCACCAAGCUUAGAUGUGACUGUGACAGUAGCCUGUCUCAUUAAAGCAGGGGACGAGAAGGCCGGCUCUAGUGGAGCUGAGGAGCAGGAGGUGAGUGGUGUGACAAAGCCAAAGACAGGAGGCUUGGAAAAUGGAAAAAGAUGAUUGUUGUUCCUUUUCCUCAUCACAUCCCCCACCGGGUGUUUUAAUUUCACCCAGCAGCCCGAGCAGAAAUUGUCAUUUGGACUCAUCUUUAAACCUGCAUACUUUGUAGG
Long non-coding RNA from Seriola aureovittata, 2326 nucleotides. RefSeq lists it as uncharacterized. The transcript has 3 exons. The record is from RefSeq and is a predicted model, not a curated record. NCBI's taxonomy places the organism in Eukaryota, Metazoa, Chordata, Actinopteri, Carangiformes, Carangidae.